Lemur catta (Ring-tailed lemur) is the source of this 2273-nucleotide long non-coding RNA. RefSeq lists it as uncharacterized. The record is from RefSeq and is a predicted model, not a curated record. The transcript is spliced from 3 exons. NCBI's taxonomy places the organism in Eukaryota, Metazoa, Chordata, Mammalia, Primates, Lemuridae.
CUUUCCCUGCCCAGCAGGGCGCCACUGGCCUGUCCCACACCCUCUCUGCCGCCUGCCCAGUGACCUAAUUAUUGUUUUUUCUUCCAGCCCCGCGGAGGGGAAAACAGAAAUUCCUGGAGGAUGACACAGGCCCGGCGGCCGCCUGCGAGCAGAGCACGGGACCGGCCGGGCCGGCUUCGCCCGGCCUGAACCCGCCGCCCGCCCCGCCGCGGGGCCGCGGAACCCGCCAUCAGGCUAACACAUACCUCUGGGGAGCCUGCCAGGUGCCAGGCACUGCCCCACACAUUGAGGCGGAGCAGCAAGCAGGAUGGCGCGGCCCUGCCCUCUGCAGCUGUCUUUCUGGGGCUGGGGGACAGGCGGUGAACCAAUAUACACAAAAUAUAAGGUCAGAUGGGGUAACAGAGCGAGGGCACAGUGCACCAUGGGGUGCCCUUUUAGACGGGGUGAUCGAGCAGGGGCCAGGACAAAGUGGGGGUGGUGCCUUGCCAACGUCUGGGGCAGAAGUUCAGAAAGAGGGACCCGCAGGUGUCAAGGUCAUGAGGCAGGAACGUGCUUGGCAUUUUCAGGAUAGCAAGGAAGGCCGUGUGGCUAGAGUGAUUGGGGGAGAGAUGAGUGCGUGCACAGGGUGAGACCGGAGAAGGGAGGGGACAGUGCAGGGGCCUUCAAGGCGCCGGGUUGCCCCACUUGUUCUGUGUCAGCCUCUGUCCCAGGUGAACCCCAUCACCUUAGCCCCUCCUUUCUCAAGCCUAGGAUCCACCUCCCCCUUUUGACCACUCCUUCUCUUGUUUCCCAUAGAAAUAUCACAGACCGGCCUGCUUUCAGCCUGCGUAAUCUCAGUGUGGACGCCGGAGCUGAUCGUCCCGCCCUUCUCCGCUGCCUUCAAGUAUGUGGAAACUGACGCUCAGAGAGGUGCAGUGACCUGCCCACGGCCACACAGCUCUCCGCAGUGGUGGAGACCAGAGUCCUCUGACAGUAGGUGCUCCUUCCAGCACGUUGAGAGAACUGGCUCAGAACAGUGACCUGUCUGAUGACCUGAAACCGUUUGCUUAUCCUGGCCCCCGGCAGCCUUUUUUUGCAAAUAACUCUUUAUCUUAUUUUACCUCUGUGAUCACACUCGAUCUUUCUAGUAACCGCGGGAGGCAGGUCUGAGGACAGUUUGGCUUUCAUAGGUGAAGUGCCACGUGAGAGACCUUGUUUUGAAACUUCCCGAAUUUUCCCUGGGCUGUGUUGCUCCCCAGAGCAGCCCGCAGAUGCUCGUGUUCUUCUGGCGCCCCCUACAGCCUGGAAGUGGUAUUAAAUCUCCCUGCUGGGUCAUUUAAAAAGUUUUGCCUGAAAAGUUUGCUUUCUCUUUUUAACCCAACACAAUCUGGGCGUUCCCCUCAGACCUCUGGAUUCACCUUGUCCCUCCUUGCUCAACAUAUUUGACAGUAGUUAAAACAUGUUUAUCUUUUGUAACUUUGUCUUCAAGAAACUAGGAUAUACUAAAGGCUCAACAAAUUGGGGUGGUUGUCCAGUGGAGAACCCCAAGAACGAGUCUGCAUCGCCAGUAGCCUGAAAGCUCUUGGGGGUGAGGCUGUUCUCUCCCAUCAUCUUAGACUAAGGGUCUCCCAGGGAAGGGAUGUGUCUCCCCCAGCGCCCCUCCCCCAUGUUGUGAGGGGGCCCUUCAGAGCAAUGCCACAGGCAGUGAGUGGGGACAGGUGGCCUCUGCCUACUGCCAUGCCCAUGGCGGCACUCUGCCUGCAACAGAGGAGGGGCAGUGUGUUUCCCGAGGCUCGGGUAGGUAGGGCACAGGAAGAAGAGGAAAGACCUGCUGGUGCCAGCCUUGGGCUCUCUCUGCACACACAGGCCUAACCCAGAGCCCACAAGAACUUGAACUUGGGCAGCACUAUGAUUGAGUCUUUCUGGGGUGAGCACAGUUGAGUUGAAGACUGCUGUUCCUUCCAGGAGGCGGGAGCCUGGGGCUGGUUGUUCAUGGGCUGCUCAGGAGAGGGGGGAGGGAAAGGCCAGCUCCUGUCAAAAGCCCUGUGAUCUCCAGGUCCCCACUCUGAAUGUCCUGCCACCCACUGGUCACCCCUACUCCGAGGUCCUGUAGGUCCCUCAAACCCCCAUCUCAAACACUCCCACCCACAUCUGUCUCUCCUUCUGGGUUGCUCCUCAUUCAUUCAUUCCUCAGGCAUUCAGUCAACAUCAGUUGAUCAUUUAUCAAGUGCCAGGUGUUUUUGUGUUUGUUUGUUUUUGGGGGGGUUAUUGAGAUAUAAUUUACUUAUUGUAAA